GGGCCGGCCCAUUAUAUAAAAUGCCAUUAGGUUUAUUCAUACUUGCCAGCCCGGUUUUAUUGAUAAUUACGAAAAUGCCAUUAGGGUUCUAACUCUAUAUGUUUCCCAAAGCUCGUCACCGUACACAGUUGUCGGCGCCGCGACACAGGACGAAGGGAGAAGGGGAGUAGCAGCGAACGAUUGCGGGGACGGAAUGAGGGCAAAGUGGAAGAAGAAGCGCAUGAGGAGGCUCAAGAGGAAGCGCCGAAAGAUGAGGCAGAGAUCUAAGUAGGGCCGCGAUGGUGGUCGUCAAGCUUCAUCACCACAUUCCCAAUAUCUGAGAUUCUGGUUCAGCUUCCAUUCUCCACAUAUUUCGGAUGUGCAUUGGUGAAAGUGAACUUUAAGUAGUGUUUUCUAGUCGUUUAACGUUGUAGGAACUAAGUGCUCUGCUUUCGAUGUUUUCUUCAUGAUUUUGUGUUAUUUAAACUUUUUGAGAUGCUUAACGUUUUGCAGUUUGAAUAAAUUAUCAUCAAUUUCAGAUUA
Long non-coding RNA from Zingiber officinale, 522 nucleotides. RefSeq lists it as uncharacterized. NCBI's taxonomy places the organism in Eukaryota, Viridiplantae, Streptophyta, Magnoliopsida, Zingiberales, Zingiberaceae. The record is from RefSeq and is a predicted model, not a curated record. The transcript has 2 exons.